UGGAAGUCGUAGCAAUCCUGCUCAGUC
RNAcentral lists this non-coding RNA (27 nucleotides) under Mus musculus (house mouse). Lineage: Eukaryota; Metazoa; Chordata; Mammalia; Rodentia; Muridae. The record is from RNAcentral.